RNAcentral lists this ribosomal RNA (750 nucleotides) under Klebsiella variicola. Its description in RNAcentral is "partial 23S ribosomal RNA". It matches the Rfam family "Bacterial large subunit ribosomal RNA", at positions 167 to 959 of the family's 2925-position model. The record is from RNAcentral. Lineage: Bacteria; Pseudomonadati; Pseudomonadota; Gammaproteobacteria; Enterobacterales; Enterobacteriaceae.
UAGGUUAACGAGGCGAACCGGGGGAACUGAAACAUCUAAGUACCCCGAGGAAAAGAAAUCAACCGAGAUUCCCCCAGUAGCGGCGAGCGAACGGGGAGCAGCCCAGAGUCUGAAUCAGCUUGUGUGUUAGUGGAACGGUCUGGAAAGUCCGACGGUACAGGGUGAUAGUCCCGUACACCAAAAUGCACAGGUUGUGAACUCGAAGAGUAGGGCGGGACACGUGGUAUCCUGUCUGAAUAUGGGGGGACCAUCCUCCAAGGCUAAAUACUCCUGACUGACCGAUAGUGAACCAGUACCGUGAGGGAAAGGCGAAAAGAACCCCGGCGAGGGGAGUGAAAAAGAACCUGAAACCGUGUACGUACAAGCAGUGGGAGCACCUUCGGGUGUGACUGCGUACCUUUUGUAUAAUGGGUCAGCGACUUAUAUUCUGUAGCAAGGUUAACCGUAUAGGGGAGCCGCAGGGAAACCGAGUCUUAACUGGGCGUUAAGUUGCAGGGUAUAGACCCGAAACCCGGUGAUCUAGCCAUGGGCAGGUUGAAGGUUGGGUAACACUAACUGGAGGACCGAACCGACUAAUGUUGAAAAAUUAGCGGAUGACUUGUGGCUGGGGGUGAAAGGCCAAUCAAACCGGGAGAUAGCUGGUUCUCCCCGAAAGCUAUUUAGGUAGCGCCUCGUGAAUUCAUCUUCGGGGGUAGAGCACUGUUUCGGCUAGGGGGUCAUCCCGACUUACCAACCCGAUGCAAACUACGA